This 425-nucleotide ribosomal RNA is filed under the name uncultured bacterium. RNAcentral's name for it is "partial 16S ribosomal RNA". It matches the Rfam family "Bacterial small subunit ribosomal RNA", at positions 354 to 796 of the family's 1533-position model. The record is from RNAcentral.
GUGGGGAAUCUUAGACAAUGGGGGCAACCCUGAUCUAGCCAUGCCGCGUGAGUGAUGAAGGCCUUAGGGUCGUAAAGCUCUUUCGCUGGGGAAGAUAAUGACGGUACCCAGUAAAGAAACCCCGGCUAACUCCGUGCCAGCAGCCGCGGUAAUACGGAGGGGGUUAGCGUUGUUCGGAAUUACUGGGCGUAAAGCGCGCGUAGGCGGAUUGGCAAGUUGGGGGUGAAAUCCCGGGGCUCAACCCUGGAAUGGCCUUCAAAACUCCCAGUCUUGAGGUCGAGAGAGGUGAGUGGAAGUCCGAGUGUAGAGGUGAAAUUCGUAGAUAUUCGGAGGAACACCAGUGGCGAAGGCGGCUCACUGGCUCGAUACUGACGCUGAGGUGCGAAAGCGUGGGGAGCAAACAGGAUUAGAAACCCUGGUAGUCC